UCUCGUACCGCAGAACCAGUCCUACAGGAAAUCUGAUUGGGUCUACUUUCAAAACAUAUCAUGAAUCUGACCCCUUUGCGCCGCCAUGCCUGCCCUCAGCCUGGUAAGAGCCACCAUGCCCUAUCUGAAUUUCUGCAGCGGUCAUCAACUGAUCUUGAUCCUAUGCUUUUUCUUUUCAAGUCUGUUGUCAACGCUUCAGCCAACGUGACCCUUUCAAAGUAUGAAUCAGAAUAUGGGCAGUGUAAGAAUCAUAUUUGAGAGGUAACAUCCCCAGGUUGGCCAGUAUCACAGACCAGCCUUGAAUGAAGCUUCCUUCUGUCACUUCACACACACACAAGAGGUAAUUUCAACUCUCCAUGCAGACACUGUCACUGCAAUUAUUGGUGAAGUGAUCAUCACUUCCCAGCAAAGAGAUGAGAUCAUGGUGUCCCAGACCUUUAUCUCGGAUAAGAUACCACCUUUGCACACAUGCUCCAGAUUGGACUCUAAAAUCUGCUGGUUUGGUGGGGAAUGACAUUUGGUAAGUAGAACUUCCUUUUAGAUCAAGAGAGAGUCUUAGAGAAAAAUGAUACUGCUAAGAAGACAUUUUAAGAAAUAUUGUGUGUGAAUAUAAUCUUAUUUUCCUGGGGAGAGAAAAUGGGCACAAAUAUAUAC
This is a long non-coding RNA of Panthera uncia (snow leopard), 654 nucleotides long. RefSeq lists it as uncharacterized. NCBI's taxonomy places the organism in Eukaryota, Metazoa, Chordata, Mammalia, Carnivora, Felidae. The record is from RefSeq and is a predicted model, not a curated record. The transcript is spliced from 3 exons.